CACAGCCAAAGGGACCAGGCACGCCGCGAGGAUUGCUGCCCCUCCCUCUUCUCCUCCAUGCCGCUGCCCCCGCAUUUGUGAAGAUCUCGCAUCUCUCGCUCACUCUAUGUCAGCCAUGGAGGGUGGGCAUGUUGGUACAUCCAAGAUGAACGGAGCUUGCGCCUUCAAUCAAUACCGGAAAGAAGAGAUGAUACCAGCACCGCAGAAGAUGAACUACGGGGAAGAUCCAUCUUGGUGUCGUCAAUGGCAAAGACUCAAGCAUAUAUGCCCUAGGGUUUUGGCGCAAGAAAGUAUCUGUACCCGGGGCUACCUAGCCGAUUCGACAACGCUACCACGUCUGAGAAAGUGGUACCAGAAGAAGGUACAUUUGGGGCGCCAUCCAAUGCCCAUUCUCUUGCUUCUUUUGUUUCUUCUUCUUUUUUUUCGUUGGCUAUUGUUCUUGCUGAGCAUGGGAUUUUAGAUUUUUAGAUCUCUGAUAACAUGUUUAAUCCCAACUGGGCAUUGUGAGCACAGGGAAUGGGCAAGGAAAACAACAAUCUUCUCAGUAUUCUUUUUGUUCAUUAGGACAUACAUUUUUUCCCCUUUAGUGGUUCCACUCCCCAUCUUAUCCAUGUUUCUUGCAGGUUCGCAUGGAGAUGGAUUUUUUUUUUUGAAAAGAAGAUCUUGGUAUGAAUAUCAAAAGGCAUUCAGUUGCAUAACUCUCAAACCAAAUGCUAGUCAUUUUAGGUUUAAUUUUAUAAAUGUUGGUUCAUGACAUGGUCCUGUAAUUGUUACACAAUUAGCAAUCAUUUAUACAAAAUAAAACACACCUAUAGAUAAUUUGUUAUUCUACAUUUUUUUCCUGUUGGUUUUUCUUAUGUUUUUUGCAAUGUUCAAUGGUCAGUACCAUGAUGUAGUACCAUUUUUGUGCUAUUAUAUCACCACGGAUACUCACAGUAAACAAUCCAUAUGAAAAACCAAGCUAUGUUCCGAAUUAUUCUCAUUCACUAAACAAAGAAGCACAACAGCGAAACUGAGCUAUAAUGGAGUAGUAUACUAACCCUCACCAAAUACACUUAAUUAUUGUCUCUACAUCUCUCUCAUCUGAACCACCUGGGUGUUCUAAUUUUAUUACAAGAUGAUAUACAUCCAUUGUGUGUCUGCUUUAGCAUUUUCAUUGCGUAUACCAAAUUCUUUUGUUCUUUUAUAAUGUGUGGACUGAUUUUUGUUUGGGUACCAUUUUGAUCUCCUUCAGGUUUUGUCCAUGUAUGAAAAAAAAGGCCCUGGGCUUAUAAAAAGAAGAUGCAUAUGCAUAGAUGUUUCUCCAUUUCAAUAAAAUUUCUUCUUGUAACCCUGAGAUCCCCAAAUUUGCGCAUCAUCUUGAAACAAGUUUUUUCAUUUCAUAAAUUUGAGCUACUAGGUUUUCUUAUAUUUUUCAAAUAACCUUUUCUACUUGCGGAUAUUCAUUGAAAUGUUUCUAGCUAUAAGCUGUUGAAAACCCCAAGGAAGUUUAUAAAAAUCAUGUAGAAACAAAUCAUGGUAACAGCAUGUGGAAAAAACAUGGUGUGCACAAUCCAGUACUUGCUUUCUUCAUUUUGAAAAAUUAUUCUUGUGACAUGUUUCCAAUAUGUGCAUGCUGCAAAAAGUCAAAGUAAUUUGUGACUUAAUCUAACCAUGUUAGAGUAUUAUCUUUUUACAAUUAUGUAAAUGUACUACUUCAACCUCAAUUUGGUUACAUACAAUUAGGUGCUGCUUCUUAACUUUUACAUAUCUAUACUUAUUGUUGUUUGUUGUACGUGGCAACAAACUGUUUAUUGUAGCAAAAUUUUAUUCAACAAUCUGGUAUCCAUUUGAAUGAACCUUCCUGUACCACUUGUUACCAUUUGGAUUGUUUGAGUUAGCAAGUUUUAACCAGUUUGCCCUAUUAAUGUAAGAUCACAAUAUUUUUGUUCUAUUAUUGCCUUUUUCAUCAUGAAACACCAUCCAAGUCGUUCAUUGUCUUCAAUUAGAACCAUGUCUUCAUGCAGUUUUGGUUAUAUAAGCUCAUACCUCAAUGAACUUAACUACCAAAAUAUGCUAGGUUUGCACAUGGUGGACAGUUACUUGCCUGUUGCAAUCGUACAUAUGGCGUAUAGUCCUUCAAGUAUGUAAGGUUUUUAUGGAACUUCUUUCUGUUAACUCAAAGGAAACCAUGCGUCGUUGAUUUUCCCUAACCUUAGAAAGUUGAAAAAUAUAUACACAAUGCAUGCAAUUCAGAAUGUUGUGGCAGACGCUACCUGUAAAUUGCAUCAUUUUCUGGUUCUAGUUCAUUAGUUCAUAUGUGCUAGUGUACACACCAUUUUGAAUGAAAAUGCCCUAAUCUGGUUCAAAAGUGUGAUGGUACAAAGUGGCAAGCUAUAUACUAAAGCACACUGAAAGCAACAGUUAUUUUUGAACAGGCUAUUUGCUCAUGCUAAAUAAUAUGUAAACAAGUGUCCAGCGCUAAGCUAUAUGCUAAAUGACACAUUUUUUUUUACUUCAAACAUUGAUGAAAGAAAAGGUCAAGCAUGCAACUGGUGGCACUUGCACUCUUGUAUUUCGUCAAACAAUAACAGGCACUGGAUGACACCAUUUCCUUCUGAGUCGUAUCAAUUUCUAUCCUUUUUUUUGUUUUAUGCUUUUUGUUCUCCAUACAAAUAGAUUUGAACCGACAUGACUUAUUACUGGAUGUUACAGAUGCAUUUUCAGGGUGGAAUAUGGACUGCAGACUGUGAUUGCAUUAAUGGAUUUUAAUGACAUGAUGGUAAAUGGAUUUUAAUGACAUUUUGGUGGCACAGAUUCAAGAACUCUUUCAUUUUGGUGGCAUAGAUUCUGAGGACCAACAUAUUUGGAAAGUCCAGGUCUGAUGUGUGCAGAUCACAUUGUAGGCUUGUAGCUCUUCUGUCAACCUCCAGUCUCAAAUUUUUACAUCUGAUAUGUACGGAUCAUAUUGUAUGCUCGUCUCUCUAGUUUGGAUCUGGUACGUGCAUGAAUGAUUCAAAAACAGUCCAUUUAUUUGGGACAUACCCGCAUGAAUGAUUCAAAAACAGUCCAUUAUAUUUAUUUGGGACGUGGGUAUACGUAUGUGCA
This is a long non-coding RNA of Setaria italica (foxtail millet), 3087 nucleotides long. RefSeq lists it as uncharacterized. The record is from RefSeq and is a predicted model, not a curated record. The transcript has 2 exons. Lineage: Eukaryota; Viridiplantae; Streptophyta; Magnoliopsida; Poales; Poaceae.